This is a long non-coding RNA of Bos taurus (domestic cattle), 382 nucleotides long. Lineage: Eukaryota; Metazoa; Chordata; Mammalia; Artiodactyla; Bovidae. The record is from Ensembl.
GCUACAGGUUUGUGCCCUUCCCAGUAUCAAAGUGUGGCGCUCUAUUGAGAUACGUGUAGGAGAAGAACAUUCCGGGAGGGAGCAGCCAUGUUGCAGUGAACCGACAACACCAAUAAUAUAAAGAACAAAUCCAGGAAGAAAUGGAACCAUACCCUGGAAGCUUGAAGUUACAGUGGUUCAUUUGGUCAACCUGCUCUGAAAAUAAAGGAAAAGAUUCUCAUGUUGAAGGUAGGGCAUGUGCCUGCAUUUUCUCUGCUUAAGCCACAGGGAUCUCAUUAAGGAUCGGGACACUAACACUGAUGGCUUCAUUUUGGGCACAACUCUCAGCAGGAAAGCCCCAUACAAAGAUAUUGAAAACAGUUUCUUGUGCUAUACCUCUUGC